GACGAACGCUGGCGGCGUGCUUAACACAUGCAAGUCGAACGGAAAGGCCCUGCUUUUGUGGGGUGCUCGAGUGGCGAACGGGUGAGUAACACGUGAGUAUCCUGCCCUUGACUUUGGGAUAACUUCAGGAAACUGGGGCUAAUACCGGAUAGGAGCUCCUGCUGCAUGGUGGGGGUUGGAAAGUUUCGGCGGUUGGGGAUGGACUCGCGGCUUAUCAGCUUGUUGGUGGGGUAGUGGCUUACCAAGGCUUUGACGGGUAGCCGGCCUGAGAGGGUGACCGGCCACAUUGGGACUGAGAUACGGCCCAGACUCCUACGGGAGGCAGCAGUGGGGAAUAUUGCACAAUGGGCGGAAGCCUGAUGCAGCAACGCCGCGUGCGGGAUGACGGCCUUCGUGUUGUAAACCGCUUUCGCCUGUGACGAAGCGUGAGUGACGGUAAUGGGUAAAGAAGCACCGGCUAACUACGUG
This 468-nucleotide ribosomal RNA is filed under the name uncultured bacterium. RNAcentral describes it as "partial 16S ribosomal RNA". It matches the Rfam family "Bacterial small subunit ribosomal RNA", at positions 28 to 507 of the family's 1533-position model. The record is from RNAcentral.